UACGUAGGGUGCGAGCGUUGUCCGGAUUUAUUGGGCGUAAAGAGCUCGUAGGCGGCUUGUCGCGUCGACCGUGAAAACUUGGGGCUCAACCCCAAGCCUGCGGUCGAUACGGGCAGGCUAGAGUUCGGUAGGGGAGACUGGAAUUCCUGGUGUAGCGGUGAAAUGCGCAGAUAUCAGGAGGAACACCGGUGGCGAAGGCGGGUCUCUGGGCCGAUACUGACGCUGAGGAGCGAAAGCGUGGGGAGCGAACAGG
This 253-nucleotide ribosomal RNA is filed under the name uncultured bacterium. Its description in RNAcentral is "partial 16S ribosomal RNA". It matches the Rfam family "Bacterial small subunit ribosomal RNA", at positions 524 to 776 of the family's 1533-position model. The record is from RNAcentral.